AGUAAAAUAGUACGUGAAAUUGUUGAAAGGGAAACGAUUUAAGUCAGUCGUACCGACGAGAAAUCAGCUCUUCGAGUGCGAACUUGUGGGCGUGCGUGAGUCUUUAACGGGCCUCGCUGUUUGCAAUUUUGUGCUUUUUGGGUGUACUUUUUCGUAUGGUAGGCCAACGUCAGUUUCGAUCACCGUAAAAUGAUCGGAGGAAUGUAGCUUCGAUCUCGUAUUGAAGUGUUAUAGCCUCUGGUAGAUGCGGUGACCGAAACUGAGGAUUGCAACGAAUACCCUUUUGGGCUAUCCGUCUGGCCUCUGAAAGUUGCUUAGGUGCCGAAAGCGUGCUUACGGCUAUUUAAGUUGACGGUCAACAGGUUAGAACGUGAUUACAUUCGUUAAGGACGUUGGCGUAAUGGCUUUAAA
RNAcentral lists this unclassified non-coding RNA (411 nucleotides) under uncultured Funneliformis. RNAcentral's name for it is "sequence contains 28S rRNA gene". The record is from RNAcentral. Lineage: Eukaryota; Fungi; Glomeromycota; Glomeromycetes; Glomerales; Glomeraceae.